RNAcentral lists this ribosomal RNA (253 nucleotides) under uncultured bacterium. RNAcentral's name for it is "partial 16S ribosomal RNA". It matches the Rfam family "Bacterial small subunit ribosomal RNA", at positions 524 to 776 of the family's 1533-position model. The record is from RNAcentral.
UACGGAGGGAGCUAGCGUUGUUCGGAAUUACUGGGCGUAAAGCGCACGUAGGCGGCUUUGUAAGUUAGAGGUGAAAGCCCGGGGCUCAACUCCGGAACUGCCUUUAAGACUGCAUCGCUUGAAUCCGGGAGAGGUGAGUGGAAUUCCGAGUGUAGAGGUGAAAUUCGUAGAUAUUCGGAAGAACACCAGUGGCGAAGGCGGCUCACUGGCCCGGUUCUGACGCUGAGGUGCGAAAGCGUGGGGAGCAAACAGG